Molecule: long non-coding RNA, 1730 nt
Organism: Ictalurus punctatus (channel catfish)
Lineage: Eukaryota; Metazoa; Chordata; Actinopteri; Siluriformes; Ictaluridae
Source: Ensembl
UUUUAAUUCAUAUAUUAGGGAUUGCUCACAAAAGCUUUCUGUUGCCAGGCCAGGAAGGCAGAGCUGUAAGUGCAGAUUUAAUUGCAGCUGGCUCAUAGAUGAUGCAUAGGAAAUAACCCAUCCAAGGCCACUGCAUGAUAUAUUAAUUCACAGUCCAGCACAGACAUAGGUAUGAAUGUUAGUACAGACGGAUCCUGGGAGACUGGAGAGCCUGCACAGGGUUCACAUUGUUCUCAGCCGCAACUGCAGCAGCACUUCAUGUUGGCCCCGUGGAGGCGGCCCAGCCCUUUCUCAUUUGUAAGGUCAUUCUUUAAAGCCAUCCAUUAUAGGGAAGGAGUGGAGGGAGUCCCUGGGGUCCUCUGGGCUGCAGAUUGUUAUACUAGCAUGCUAGGGGGGAUUGGUUUCUAGGAAGCAGGCGGCACGACACAUCCCAGAGGCAUUGACAGCUAUUGUGUGCAUGCCCGCCCUACAUCACUGCCGCUAAUCUCUAACUGAGAGAAACCUGACCGCUAAAUAAUGGAAGAGCUCAAUGCCAGCGCACUCACCUAUUUCCUGGCAUGGACCGAUUUGCUCGCCACAAUUCAUGUGUUCUUUUCAAAGUCUUCUGUCUUACAUGGUACAUUGCGAAAGGGAUUAUCUUUGAUGCCAGGGCUGUGUCGCUCGAAUAACACGGUAUGUUUUAUUGAACGCUGCCACAGUUAUCUCAGGUCUUCACGUAAUUGUCGAGACAAUAUUUACGUCAGCGUGUUAAUAACUGCAGAACAAGCUUAUUGGAAAUUCUGUUCGAAAUGUUAUUAUUUAAAACAUUUUAUAUAGUGCCUUUUAUAUAGUGAUUGAUGUUAGUAAUGUUCUGUGGUGCAUUCACCAUCAAACAGGCUUAGUGUAGAGGGAGGAGUGUGUUUGCUUGCCAGAGAGAGAGAGAGAGAGAAGUCUUCGCUUAGACUGUGUGUUACCCUACACCACAGACAGUGAACUUUCAGACAGAAGUAGAGUAUACAGAAAGAGCUCCCUGGUGCCUUAUUCGAGAGCCAUAGAAAUCCACUGGAGGAAAAUUUCAUUAACUCAGCUCGUUACACUCCAGCUAGACUGCAGACUUUCCGCACUUAAAGCGGCAGAUCUGCAAAGAUGUAAAGGUUGCAUUGUAGUGGAUAGCUGUCGAGGACUCGAAGGUGUUUGAUUUAACAAACUGAAAAAAUCUCAUUACACAUAUUCUUCUAUUGACUUUUUGAUUGAUUUCCUCCUGGUCUGGAAAUGUUUUGAAGCGUAGAUCAAAGGUUAUUCUUGUGUCGCUUGAAAAAGAAACGCUGGGGAAGUUGCUACAUCGAAGUGUCUGCUGCGCUGGAAUGUAGUAACUUGGUGUAAUACUCGAACGUUGGGAAAAUGUUGCUGAAAUGUGAGCAGAGUUAUGGACCCCUUUAGCUGACUGGGCCUCAUUCACAGCUAAAGUAAAAGCAACGUGAGAAACUAUAAGUGUGCAAGAACAACUGUUUCUCUGUUUCGGUCAUUUGCCAGUUGCACUCAGGCAGCGCUGUCCACAAACCGUCAUGUUGCGGGAGACUUUACAGGCUGUCCCUUGUCCAGCCAUUGCCAACGUAAACACUCUCUGACUUUCCUCUCCGUCUUUCCGCAAGCUUACCUGGAACCAUUCCUGAGUCCUCCAUCUUUUCUUUUUCGUGUACACACAAACCUCUUCCAGUGGCUCCUUCACAAGGUUUUCCUGCCACUCUGAG